UUUCGGGAAACUAAGAACGUUUUUACAUUUAGUUUGGAAUUCUGGACCAAAUUACUGCUAAAAAAAAGAAUUGGAUGCUAAUUAAUGGAAAGAUUUGAAAAGAAAACUAAACCGGACUAUUGGAUUGACGAAUUGGUGAAACAAAAAGGGAAUCUAACAACUAUUAUGUGCGGAGCUAUGUGCAAUAAUGAUUUUGGAGCGUUUGAGCAAAGAAGUAAUCUGGCAAGAAGAAAAUCAAAACGUCUUGCCUUAAAAUACGCAACACAGGUCGACGAAGGAAACAAAAAUGACAUCUUGACGCCUACGCUUCAAGGAUUCCUCAAUAGAGUGUUUUCCAACAAUAUGAUUUUUGUUUAGCUGCAUAUGGCAAACUAACAUAGCUGAAAGAAUGGAAAUAUAAUUGAUGCAACAGA
Long non-coding RNA from Uranotaenia lowii, 413 nucleotides. RefSeq lists it as uncharacterized. The transcript is spliced from 2 exons. Lineage: Eukaryota; Metazoa; Arthropoda; Insecta; Diptera; Culicidae. The record is from RefSeq and is a predicted model, not a curated record.